RNAcentral lists this ribosomal RNA (377 nucleotides) under uncultured bacterium. RNAcentral's name for it is "bacterial SSU rRNA". It matches the Rfam family "Bacterial small subunit ribosomal RNA", at positions 790 to 1167 of the family's 1533-position model. The record is from RNAcentral.
GUAGUCCACGCCGUAAACGUUGGGCGCUAGGUGUGGGGGGUUAUCCACUCCCUCCGUGCCGCAGCUAACGCAUUAAGCGCCCCGCCUGGGGAGUACGGCCGCAAGGCUAAAACUCAAAGGAAUUGACGGGGGCCCGCACAAGCGGCGGAGCAUGUGGCUUAAUUCGACGCAACGCGAAGAACCUUACCAAGGCUUGACAUGCAAGGAAAUCUCGUAGAGAUACGGGGUCCGCAAGGGUCUUGCACAGGUGGUGCAUGGUUGUCGUCAGCUCGUGUCGUGAGAUGUUGGGUUAAGUCCCGCAACGAGCGCAACCCUCGUCCUAUGUUGCCAGCGAGUAAUGUCGGGGACUCAUAGGAGACUGCCGGGGUCAACUCGGA